This 747-nucleotide small RNA is filed under the name Pongo abelii (Sumatran orangutan). RNAcentral's name for it is "retained intron". The record is from RNAcentral. Lineage: Eukaryota; Metazoa; Chordata; Mammalia; Primates; Hominidae.
AUAUACCACAUUUUGUUUUUCCAUGUCACCAUCCAUUGAUGAACAUUUGAAUUUGUUUUGUUUUUGGCUAUUAAAAUGCUGCUAUAAACAACUGUAAAUAAGUCUUUGUGUGGGUUUUUUUUUUUUUUUUUUCAUUUUUCCUGGGUAGAAAUCUAGGAUCAAAUUUGUUAUCUUCUUUAAAGCAUAGGGUUUCUCUGUCCUUUUUGUCUGAAUGUCCUCUUUGAAAUAAGGCAUUGGAUUUUUUUCCUCAUUCUUCCCCCCCACUUUUUUUUUUUUAAUUUUCCCAUUUUUCUUACCCAGGGAGCACAAUACUUGGGAACCUGAGAAAAACUUGGAUUGCCCUGAGCUAAUUUCUGAAUUUAUGAAAAAGUAUAAGAAGAUGAAGGAGGGUGAAAAUAAUAAACCCAGAGAGAAGUCAGAAAGUAACAAGAGGAAAUCCAGUUUCUCAAACAGUGCCGAUGAUAUCAAAUCUAAAAAAAAGAGAGAGCAGAGCAAUGAUAUCGCUCGGGGCUUUGAGAGAGGACUGGAACCAGAAAAGAUCAUUGGGGCAACAGAUUCCUGUGGUGAUUUAAUGUUCCUAAUGAAAUGGAAAGACACAGAUGAAGCUGACCUGGUUCUUGCAAAAGAAGCUAAUGUGAAAUGUCCACAAAUUGUGAUAGCAUUUUAUGAAGAGAGACUGACAUGGCAUGCAUAUCCUGAGGAUGCGGAAAACAAAGAGAAAGAAACAGCAAAGAGCUAAAGGAGGGG